GCCCUGAAGCCAGGGGAGCCCGGGAUGUCUCUGCUGCUGGCCACCCUGCUGCUCCUCCUCUCCACCCACAGCGUCCUGGCCCUGAGGAUCUGCUCCUUUAAUGUGAGGUCCUUUGGGAAAUCCAAGAAGGCAAACUGUAAUGCCAUGGAUGUCAUUGUGAAGGUCAUCAAACGCUGUGACAUCAUACUCCUGAUGGAAAUCAAGGACAGCAACAACAUAAUCUGUCCCACACUGCUGGAGAGACUGAACGGAAACUCAAGAAGAGGCAAAACAUAUAACUAUGUGAUUAGCUCUCGUCUUGGAAGAAACACAUACAAAGAACAGUAUGCCUUUCUCUAUAAGGAAAAGCUAGUGUCUGUGAAAGCAAGCUACCUCUACCAUGACUACCAGGCUGGCGAUGCAGAUGUAUUUUCCAGGGAACCCUUUGUGGUCUGGUUCCAGUCACCCCACACCGCUGUCAAGGACUUCGUGAUUGUUCCCCUGCACACCACCCCUGAGACAUCCGUUAAAGAGAUUGACGAGCUGGCUGAUGUCUAUACGGAUGUGAAACGUCACUGGAAGGCGGAGAAUUUCAUUUUCAUGGGUGACUUCAAUGCUGGCUGCAGCUACGUCCCCAGGAAGGCCUGGAAGAACAUCCGCCUGAGGACUGACCCCAAGUUCAUUUGGCUGAUCGGGGACCAAGAGGAUACCACGAUCAAGAAGAGCACAAACUGUGCCUAUGACAGGAUCGUGCUUAGAGGACAAGAGAUCGUCACCUCUGUUGUUCCUCAAUCAAACAGCAUCUUUGACUUCCAGAAAGCUUACGGGUUGACUGAAGAGAAGGCCCUGGAUGUCAGCGACCACUUUCCAGUUGAAUUUAAACUUCAGUCUUCAAGGGCCUUCACCAACAGCAAAGAAUCUGUCUCUCCAAAGAAGAAAAAAAAGACCAGCCGCACCUAGAUACAAGGGUGCCAUUUUAUUCACCAUUUCUUGCCUCUACAUAAAGCAGCUCCAAUAGGUAUGAACUGUUCCCGGCACUCAGGAAACAAGACUGGCCCAACUGCGUUCAUUUUUCAACUUGUAUCUAAUUCAUCUUGAGCCAAACUGGGAAGAGUGUCUUCUAUUCUCCCUCUAGAGCUCGAGCUCAUACCUCCCCUGAAUUUCUCAAAAGGAAACUAGGGUCUUUUGCAGUCCAAAACGAUGGCCUUCAUGUUGGGAGCUAGAGCCCCAUCAGCUGUCACUGCUCUACCUGCCGAGAGAGGCCGCAGGAAGAGGAACAUCAGCUUUCCGUCUUCUUGAGGGCGUCCUGUUCCAUGCGAAACGACCAGAAAUGCCAAGAACACCAAGGCCCCAACUGUAGCCCAUGAUUUGGGCAAUGAACUGCGUCAGGAUCUGGCCCUCCUGUCUGAGUACAUGAACAGGGCUAAAUCUGCAAGCAGUACCAAGGAAUAAGCAAAGAGAAGGAACGCUGUGCCUUGGCCCCCCUGGUGUCCUGUCUCAGAAGCAGCCCCUCCUACCAGCUUACGCAUCCACCAGAGAGUCUGCAUAAAUAAGAACCGUGUGUAACUUUGAGAAAUACAGAGUAUAGCAUUCUAUACACGUGGUCCCGCUCUGCUGAUUUUCCUAAACAUAUCCAGGACGAUGUGACUUUCGAUAUAAGAAAACGAGACUGUGAGCCUGAUUUUUUUUCUAUACAUUUAUUUGUUUGUUUUUUGGCUGUGUUGGGUCUUCGUUGCUGUGCGCGGGCUUUCUCUAGUUGUGGCGAGCGGGGCUACUCUUCAUUGCGGUAUGCGGGCUUCUCAUUGUGGGGGUUUCUCUUGUCAUGGACCAUGGGCUCUAGGCAUGUGGGCUCAGUAGU
RNA transcript from Lagenorhynchus albirostris (white-beaked dolphin), 1837 nucleotides. It is a transcript of the gene named deoxyribonuclease 1 like 3, with no coding region annotated. The record is from RefSeq and is a predicted model, not a curated record. The transcript has 9 exons. Lineage: Eukaryota; Metazoa; Chordata; Mammalia; Artiodactyla; Delphinidae.